GGGGGGCUGCUCCUAGUACGAGAGGACCGGAGUGGACGCAUCACUGGUGUUCGGGUUGUCAUGCCAAUGGCACUGCCCGGUAGCUAAAUGCGGAAGAGAUAAGUGCUGAAAGCAUCUAAGCACGAAACUUGCCCCGAGAUGAGUUCUCCCUGAGACUUUAAGUCUCCUGAAGGAACGUUAAAGACGAUGACGUUGAUAGGCCGGGUGUGUAAGCGCAGCGAUGCGUUGAGCUAACCGGUACUAAUGAACCGUGAGGCUUAACCUUACAACGCCGAAG
This 277-nucleotide ribosomal RNA is filed under the name Klebsiella pneumoniae. Its description in RNAcentral is "partial 23S ribosomal RNA". It matches the Rfam family "Bacterial large subunit ribosomal RNA", at positions 2666 to 2925 of the family's 2925-position model. Lineage: Bacteria; Pseudomonadati; Pseudomonadota; Gammaproteobacteria; Enterobacterales; Enterobacteriaceae. The record is from RNAcentral.